GGCUGGUGUGCAGGUGGUGCAUUAUAUCAUUUGAUUGUUCACAGUCAGUUACAGACUGAACUUCUGGGCCUACUCUUUCCCCCUUCUCUUUACUGCACUUCACUAGUCAAGA
Molecule: non-coding RNA, 112 nt
Filed under: Otolemur garnettii (small-eared galago)
Lineage: Eukaryota; Metazoa; Chordata; Mammalia; Primates; Galagidae
Source: RNAcentral